UCUGGUUGAUCCUGCCAGUAGUCAUAUGCUUGUCUCAAAGAUUAAGCCAUGCAUGUCUAAGUAUAAAUAGUAUACAGUGAAACUGCGAAUGGCUCAUUAAAACAGUUAUAGUUUAUUUGAUAAUUGACAAUUACAUGGAUAACCGUGGUAAUUCUAGAGCUAAUACAUGCUUAAACGCCCGACUUUAUGGAAGGGUGGUAUUUAUUAGACUGAAGCCAAUAUUCCUUGUGUCUAUUGCGGUGAUUCAUAAUAACUGAUCGAAUCUCUUUUUGAGAUAAAUCAUUCAAGUUUCUGCCCUAUCAGCUUUCGAUGGUAGUGUAUUGGACCACCAUGGCAGUAACGGGUAACGAAGAAUUAGGGUUCGAUUUCGGAGAGGGAGCAUGAGAAACGGCUACCACAUCUAAGGAAGGCAGCAGGCGCGUAAAUUACCCAAUCCUGACUCAGGGAGGUAGUGACAAGAAAUAGCAAACCGGGAACCUCAUGGUUUCACGGUAUUGCAAUGAGAACAAUUUAAAACCCUUAGCGAGAAUCAAGUGGAGGACAAGUCUGGUGCCAGCACCCGCGGUAAUUCCAGCUCCACUAGCGUAUAUUAAAGUUGUUGCAGUUAAAAAGCUCGUAGUUGAACCUCUGUCUGGGGCUAGUUUUGGCUUUGGUCAGGCUAGUUCUAGGCAUCCGCCUACAAGACUUAGAGGGCAUUCAGUUGUUCACUAGGAGGAGUAGGCAUUUUACUUUGAAAAAAAUUAGAGUGUUUAAGGCAGGCAAUCGCCCGCAUAUAUUAGCAUGGAAUAAUAGAAUAGGACACUUUUCCAUUUCGUUGGUUAUUGGAAUCGUGUAAUGAUUAAUAGGGACAGUUGUGGGCAUUUGUAUUUAAUUGUCAGAGGUGAAAUUCUUGGAUUUAUUAAAGACAAACUAACGCGAAAGCAUUUGCCAAGGAUGUUUUCAUUAAUCAAGAACGAAAGUUAGGGGAUCAAAGACGAUCAGAUACCGUCCUAGUCUUAACUAUAAACUAUUCCGACUCAAUGUUUGACUGGCUUAUAUAACCAGUUGAGCGUUGUAUGAGAAAUCAAAGUCUUUAGGUUCUGGGGGGAGUAUGGUUGCAAAGCUGAAACUUAAAGGAAUUGACGGAAGAGCACAACCAGGAGUGGAUUCUGCGGCUUAAUUUGACUCAACACGGGGAAACUUACCAGGUUAAAACAAUAGUGGGAUUGACAGUUUGAGAGCGCUUUCUUGAUUGGUUGGGUGGUGGUGCAUGGCCGUUCUUAGUUGGUGGAGUGAUUUGUCUGCUUAAUUGCGUUAACGAACGAGACCUUAACCUGCUUACUAGACUGGCGAUCAUCAAUCGUUAGCUCUUCUUAG
This 1356-nucleotide ribosomal RNA is filed under the name metagenome. RNAcentral describes it as "SSU rRNA". It matches the Rfam family "Eukaryotic small subunit ribosomal RNA", at positions 1 to 1414 of the family's 1831-position model. The record is from RNAcentral.